UACAGAGGGGGCAAGCGUUGUUCGGAAUUACUGGGCGUAAAGGGCGCGUAGGCGGCCGCCUAAGUCAGACGUGAAAUCCCUCGGCUUAACCGGGGAACUGCGUCUGAUACUGGAUGGCUAGAGGUUGGGAGAGGGAUGCGGAAUUCCAGGUGUAGCGGUGAAAUGCGUAGAUAUCUGGAGGAAUACCGGUGGCGAAGGCGGCAUCCUGGACCGACAUUGACGCUGAGGAGCGAAAGCUAGGGGAGCAAACGGG
RNAcentral lists this ribosomal RNA (253 nucleotides) under uncultured bacterium. Its description in RNAcentral is "partial 16S ribosomal RNA". It matches the Rfam family "Bacterial small subunit ribosomal RNA", at positions 524 to 776 of the family's 1533-position model. The record is from RNAcentral.